RNAcentral lists this ribosomal RNA (467 nucleotides) under uncultured bacterium. RNAcentral describes it as "partial 16S ribosomal RNA". It matches the Rfam family "Bacterial small subunit ribosomal RNA", at positions 28 to 507 of the family's 1533-position model. The record is from RNAcentral.
GAUGAACGCUGACAGAAUGCUUAACACAUGCAAGUCAACUUGAAUUUGGGUUUUUAACUUCGGUUUGGGUGGCGGACGGGUGAGUAACGCGUAAAGAACUUGCCUCACAGCUAGGGACAACAUUUGGAAACGAAUGCUAAUACCUAAUAUUAUGAUAAUAGGGCAUCCUAUAAUUAUGAAAGCUAUAAGCGCUGUGAGAGAGCUUUGCGUCCCAUUAGCUAGUUGGAGAGGUAACGGCUCACCAAGGCGAUGAUGGGUAGCCGGCCUGAGAGGGUGAUCGGCCACAAGGGGACUGAGACACGGCCAUUACUCCUACGGGAGGAAGCAGUGGGGAAUAUUGGAAAAUGGACCAAGAGUCUGAUCCAGCAAUUCUGUGUGCACGAUGAAGUUUUUCGGAAUGUAAAGUGCUUUCAGUUGGGAAGAAAGAAAUGACGGUACCAACAGAAGAAGUGACGGCUAAAUACGUG